UUCUCGAAAAAAAAAAAAAAGAAAAAGAACGAAUAAAUUUUCACGUUAUAUUACGAGAUAAAUAAAUAUUGCUCGGUCAGAUUCAUUCCCCUUGAAAAGCACGGCUUCAUUUAGAUUAUCGAAAGCAAUAAUUAUAUGGUCGCCGUUUAUAAAUCAAAUUAAUGAAACGACAGCGAUAAAUCUAAAUCUUUUUAGCCGAUGGUGGUAGAGAGCCGGAGGUGGUCAGUUAAGAAGUUAAAUAACCACCAGAUUAUUAACUCGAUUAAUUAUUAUUAACCCUCCUCCCCCUCCUCCCCCCCGCCGAAACUUGUUGUACUUUGAACGAUAUAAAUCGGGUAAACACACGGCCGGGGAGGAACUUUUUUAACUUCGUCCUUAGAUAGAUAUUAUCUCGACAGGGCAUUACUUUCGCGAUACAACGAGCAAGCUUUUCCAAUUAACUUCCAUCUUAUAAAUAUUCAUGCCUCGAAUUCGCGCUCACGCCCAAACGUAAAUCCAGUUUCUUUUCCUUGCUAAAAUCCUCAUUCCCCCUCCCUCCUCCUUUAUUUUUUUCUUUUCUUAAACUUUAAUUUUCAAACUCGAAUUCGUUCCACUUUCUUUCCUAAUUAAAAAUCCGAUUUGAUUCGAUCAAGUGUUAUAUUUCGCGACAACGGAACAAGAUUUCGAAACAAGAUUUCGAUUUUUUCUUAGAAAGAAUAUCUGCGUAAAGAAGAAGAUACCUUUGGAAAAUAAAAAUUCUCGUUAUCUUUUAUAGAAAUAAAAUGCAAACAACAAACACGCAAUAUUUUAAUAUUUCUUUAUUAUUAAAAUAAGAUUAUUGUAUUCUCAAUUUAUAAUAUAAAAUCGAGAAAAGAAAGGAGAAAAAUAAGAAUCGAAAUGCUACAAACGUUACACUUAAAUUCACUUUUGUUUAUGCCUCGAACGACAACAUUAAUACGCGAGACAAGAGACGACGCUUGACAAAAGUCAACAAACAUUCGGUGUGACCGUGGAACGAGUCAUUUCUCGCCGAUACGGCAGAGGGGAAGGUAGUAUACACGGCGAGCACGAGCAUCGAGCACCAUUAACGACGCAUCAGUUUCUCAGGCACGCAACUUUUUCCAACUUUUACUAUCCCGUGAAAUUGUCGUUUCCACGAGACGUAGACUUUUCAAAAGGAGCAAAGAACAAUCCGUAGAUUUUAAUGGUCGUAAUGUCUCCGUUGUUUCGCCCAGCGUGUGUGUGUGUAUGUGUGUGUGUGUGUUGGAAAAAAUCCCCCCUCUCCGUGGGGAUCCAUUCGAAUGGGAAGGAAAAGGAAGGAAGAAGGAACGAAAGAUCUAUGUCUAUUUUGUAACGCCUAGUAUCACGAAAAUCGUCACCUCGGAUAAUUAAUUUUUCGAGUUGAAAAUUGCUCAACAAAAUUGAGAAGAGAGGAAAAGAGUUUGAGAAAUUUGAGUUAAGAAAAAUAUCCCUCGACGAAAAAAGAUAACAUCCUUUAUCUCAGGAGGGAUAAUGUGGAAGGAUGUGGCGAUGUCUCGAAGGAAGCGCGUGAAAGAAACGUUCGUCGCAGUUUGGCAAAUAUUUUUAAGCCGCUUAAGGAUUUAUUUACGCGCGGGGAAGGACGAGCGGAGGAAAAACCGUUCCGCUUCAGCAAUCUGGACGACCUUUCCAUCUUUCCACCCGAAAUUAACGACGAUAAUUAGUGUUUGGAACGGAUCAAUCGAGAAACAUUUUUCUCGCGAGUGGAUCAUUGGAACGUGUAUUCCAUUUGCGAGGAAUAAUAUAUAAUCUGUUUACGAGAAUUUUAGAAUACGUUCGAGACAACAGAGUGCUCUGCUCUCCGUAUCUUUCACCGUUAUUUUUUCCCCCACCUUUUCUCCCUCUCCCUCUCUCUCUCUCUCUCUCGCCGGCCACGUGUUGUCGGCCGUUAGAAACGGCGAUUCCCUUUCGUGAGGGAGCAUCGGACGACCGAAAACCGCUUUUGAAAACGAACUUCUUGUCUCUCGGUUGCUUCGUGCCUUAACCAACUUGGUACCAAAGGCUAUUUUCACCAACGAACUCGUAACCCGAUACACAUCGAGCGAGGAGGAGAGUUUGUUUCGGUGUUUCUGUGCAGUUAGAAAAUCACUGUGAAAUGGCCUUCGGGUUUCCUUUUAAUGAAACGCCCAACUUCCGACUUGUUAAUGGGACCUCUCCCUCCCCUCUUCUUUCCUCCUCGCUCUGUUCAAAACAGAACAGCGAUUGCUCUUCGCUUUUUCUUUCCGAGAUUUAAUCCAACAUUUUUCCAAAGGAAAUAUUAAUGUUUAAUUAUUGAAAGAAGAGGAGGAGGAGAGGAAGGAGGGGGAGAAGGAUACGGGAAAUUAACGGCACGCAAGGCGUUUGAAAAAGAUGUUUAGUCGUGUAAAAGCGUUAAUUCUCUCUCUCUCUCUCUCUCUCUCUCUCUCUCUCUCUCUCUCUCUCUCUCUCUCUUUUUCAAAGAUUUCGAAGAUUUUUAAUAUCUUUCGAAUUAUUUGUUACGUAAAUUUUUUAUAAAAUACUUUUUGUACGUUUGUGAAAUAAUAUCAACUUUCUUUUGUAUGAAUAAACUUUAAUUAAUUGAUCGAUCCGAGAUAAUUUUUCAGCGAUAAAAAUUGGUUAAAAAAAAAAGAAAAAAAGGAAAGAAAAGAGAGAAAUUUGUUUGUAUUUAACUCGCGAAGAAAUUCGUCAUGCAUAAAUAAAACGCAAUGAAAUUAUUCAUUUAAUUUUCCCCGCUGUUAUUACUGAAACGUAGCGAAUACAUUAGAGAGAUUUGAAUACAUUUUGAAGAGGAGAAUCUUAAUCACCGAAUUGCAUAAUAUCGAGGAAAUGGUAGAAAGGCGGCUUUAAUAUCUUGCCGAGGUAAAAUCUCAUUAUUAUGGUUUUGAAAAAUGUGAAGUGAAAAGAGGAAUUAAAAUUUCCAGAUAGACAAAA
This 2928-nucleotide long non-coding RNA is filed under the name Apis mellifera (honey bee). RNAcentral describes it as "uncharacterized LOC113219313". The record is from RNAcentral. Lineage: Eukaryota; Metazoa; Arthropoda; Insecta; Hymenoptera; Apidae.